Long non-coding RNA from Pistacia vera, 996 nucleotides. RefSeq lists it as uncharacterized. The transcript has 6 exons. The record is from RefSeq and is a predicted model, not a curated record. Lineage: Eukaryota; Viridiplantae; Streptophyta; Magnoliopsida; Sapindales; Anacardiaceae.
UGGCUAACAAUUUUUCUUUUUUAAUGUUUAUUAACUUUCUUGCUUUUUGACUAUCUCUAAGAGUUUGAUAUUGUAGAAAUUGUUUGAGUUCAAUAUUUAUGGUAUCUCAGUUAUGAUUUUCUUUUGUAAGACUCAAAAAGAGGGUUACUUCUGUUUGCAAUGCAUAGCUGAUUCUUCAUAUUCUGUGUUGUACAGAUGGCAAUGCAGGCAGAUUCUUCUGCCUUAAGUCCCGAAGUAGUUGGGAAUGCCUUUGUGGAGCAAUACUACAGUAUUCUUUGUCCAUCACCUGAUAAUGUUCACAGAUUUUAUCAGGAAUCAAAUAUGCUAAGCCGGCCAGAUCCUUCCGGUGCUAUGAGAAGACCAUCAAAGGCAUAAAUGACAAGAUUUUGUUUAUGGACCAUCAGAAUUUUAAGAGCCAAUUCAUGCUCCCAAUAACCAUGCUGUGAAUCACAAUUCACCAACCCCUGCAAAUGAGGACACUGAAAACGGCAAAGAAGUCAGUCAUCCAUUGGACAAUGGAAAAGUUUUGGUGGCUGAGAAAGUGGUUGUUCCAGAGCAUCCAAUCAUUUCAAUCCAGAAUGAUGCCCCUCCGGUCACAAAGACCCUUGCUUCUAAAACACAAGACGAAGUCCCCAAGAAAUCUUUUGCAUCAGUGGUACAUGAUUUGAAAAAGAGUAAUUCUCCAUUUGAUGUUGUUCUCAGGGUUCCAUCUGUUAAACUUGUGGAACAAUCACGGUCACUGCAGCAGCAGCUAUAGAAACUGCUCCUAAUAGCAACAGUUCCGUGGAUGAAAACAAUAAUAAUGCAGCAGUUAAGGGUCACUCCAUAUUUGUUGGAAACUUGCUUGAUACUGCAACAGUUGGACAACUUAAGGUGGUUUUUGAGCAAUUUGGGCCUAUUAAACCAGAUGGCAUUCAAGUUAGAAGUCAGAAGCAAACAGGGAACUGUUUCGGUUUUGUAGAAUUUGAAUCUGCCAGUUCAGUGCAAAGUGUGCUC